AAGCAUUGCAUUAUUUACUGUUGAUGGAGAUUGGACUAAGGAUGACCCCACUAGCCCUAGAGAUGUUGUGAGACCUGGCCGGGCCAGGCAUACUUAUCCAGUUGUUGUAAGACCUGGCCGGGCCAGGCAUACGAAGGUUGUGAGACCCGGCCGGGCCGGGCAUACUGAGACUGGAAGGGAUGUUUUGGGGUUAGGUCCAAUCCGUGAUGUGAUUUGUUUGUGCUGUGACGCA
RNAcentral lists this long non-coding RNA (232 nucleotides) under Manihot esculenta (cassava). RNAcentral's name for it is "long non-coding RNA (MESC_LNC004529)". Lineage: Eukaryota; Viridiplantae; Streptophyta; Magnoliopsida; Malpighiales; Euphorbiaceae. The record is from RNAcentral.